AUGCUCGUCGAAAAUUGGAGCCGAAGCUUGAGGUAAGCCCUUCUCCUCCUUCCUUUCUUCCUUUCCUCCUUUCCCUCCUUUCCAUGGUUGUGUGCACCCUCGCUGGCCUUCGAGAUCGUUGGAAAAUUCAUGAAAAGGGUGAAUCCUGUUUUGCUAUGUUUCGAUCGAGACCUUUCCUUUCUUUUUUGGCCACCGGCACCAUUGGUUGCGGCGUCUCAUCCCUAGGAUAGAACCCUCGUCCCUUUAUCUCUCUUCUCUGAAGAUAUUGACCGUCGGUGACCGACCAAUGAUCGAAAAAUAAAAGAAAAAGUGACGGUCCCCUGUUUUUCUGAUCUCUUCUUGAUUUCUCGCUGAUCGAACCUUGCUGCCGGCCAUCCCUUGCUCCACCGCCGCCUUCACCUGCUGUCGGACAUCCGGCCAUGCCGCCACCCU
RNAcentral lists this long non-coding RNA (432 nucleotides) under Elaeis guineensis (African oil palm). RNAcentral describes it as "long non-coding RNA (EGUI_LNC022634)". The record is from RNAcentral. Lineage: Eukaryota; Viridiplantae; Streptophyta; Magnoliopsida; Arecales; Arecaceae.